UCGGGAAUUUUGGGCAAUGGGCGAAAGCCUGACCCAGCAACGCCGCGUGAAGGAUGAGGUAUUUCGGUAUGUAAACUUCGAAAGAAUAGGAAGAAUAAAUGACGGUACUAUUUAUAAGGUCCGGCUAACUACGUGCCAGCAGCCGCGGUAAUACGUAGGGACCAAGCGUUGUUCGGAUUUACUGGGCGUAAAGGGCGCGUAGGCGGCAAUUCAAGUCAUCUGUGAAAUCUCCGGGCUUAACUCGGAACGGUCAGAUGAUACUGCUUUGCUAGAGUGCAGAAGGGGCAAUCGGAAUUCUUGGUGUAGCGGUGAAAUGCGUAGAUAUCAAGAGGAACACCUGAGGUGAAGACGGGUUGCUGGGCUGACACUGACGCUGAGGCGCGAAAGCCAGGGGAGCAAACGGGAUUAGAUACCCCCGUAGUCCCUGAGCGGGCUGGCAAGGCGC
Molecule: ribosomal RNA, 445 nt
Filed under: uncultured bacterium
Lineage: Bacteria
Description: bacterial SSU rRNA
Rfam family: Bacterial small subunit ribosomal RNA
Source: RNAcentral